UCCGGCUUAUCACCGGCAGUCCCCUUAGAGUGCCCAACUGAAUGAUGGCAACUAAGGGCGAGGGUUGCGCUCGUUGCGGGACUUAACCCAACAUCUCACGACACGAGCUGACGACAGCCAUGCAGCACCUGUGCACGUUUCACCCGAAGGCAGGCCCAUCCCUUUCAGGCGGACCAUCCGUGCAUGUCAAGACUAGGAUAAGGUUCUUCGCGUAGCCUCGAAUUGAGCAACAUCCUCCACCGCUUGUGUGAGCCCCCGUCAAUUCCUUUGAGUUUUAGCCUUGCGGCCGUACUCCCCAGGCGGGGUGCUUAAUGCGUUAGCUUCGGCACGGAACGGGUUGAAGGCCACCCCACACCUAGUACCCAACGUUUACGGCUGGGACUAC
Molecule: unclassified non-coding RNA, 385 nt
Filed under: uncultured bacterium
Lineage: Bacteria
Description: contains 16S-23S intergenic spacer region
Source: RNAcentral